This 449-nucleotide ribosomal RNA is filed under the name uncultured bacterium. RNAcentral describes it as "bacterial SSU rRNA". It matches the Rfam family "Bacterial small subunit ribosomal RNA", at positions 328 to 794 of the family's 1533-position model. The record is from RNAcentral.
UUACCAGACUCCUACGGGAGGCAGCAGUGGGGAAUAUUGCACAAUGGGGGAAACCCUGAUGCAGCGACGCCGCGUGAAGGAAGAAGUAUUUCGGUAUGUAAACUUCUAUCAGCAGGGAAGAAAAUGACGGUACCUGAAGAAGAAGCCCCGGCUAACUACGUGCCAGCAGCCGCGGUAAUACGUAGGGGGCAAGCGUUAUCCGGAUUUACUGGGUGUAAAGGGGGCGCAGACGGCGAUGCAAGCCAGGAGUGAAAGCCCGGGGCCCAACCCCGGGACUGCUCUUGGAACUGCGUGGCUAGAGUGCAGGAGGGGCAGGCGGAAUUCCUGGUGUAGCGGUGAAAUGCGUAGAUAUCAGGAGGAACACCGGUGGCGAAGGCGGCCUGCUGGACUGCAACUGACGUUGAGGCCCGAAAGCGUGGGGAGCAAACAGGAUUAGAUACCCUUGUAGU